GGAAGGGGUGGAGCCAGGAUCCAUCCCUUUCCCAGCCCUCAUUUAAGGGUUGGCAGUGGGGGGUGAGGGUGUUUUGCUGGAGAUCCCUGCCUGCCUGAGGUCUUCUAAAGCCCUGUGUGCCAUGGUCUUCAACGCUGGAUGGAGGAAAGAGGUUUGAAGGGGUGAGGAGCUGUGGGAUUAGGCAACAUUUGUUGGCCACAGCUGAAGUCCUCUGAAGGUAGAUGUAGGAGCUGGCACCGCCUCGCUGCUUUAUUUGGGUUUCUGAUCCGUUCCUGGAAUGUAAAUUAAAGCAGAGGGAAAAUACAUGGAGUCAAAUCCUGCUGCUGGGUUGCGUAGCUGCAGCAUCCCGAGGAUGUGACACAGGAGAUGGAAGUUGUCAGGAGAGCCACACACCUCCAGCAUCCUCCAGAGCGUGCAUAUGGAGCUGACACUCAAUAAAUAAUACAGGAUUCAGGAUUGAGAUGCAGGGAAGCGCUGUGCUCAGAUGGAGUGCUGUAGGCUCAGAUUGCUGCCCAAUGUCCUGGAGUGGGAAGGGGAAAGCAUCAGUGGGGCAGAAGAGCCCAGACCGGUGUUAGUCCUUGGCAGAAGAGCUUUUCCUUGCUUGGAGCAAGCAGCAGCACUGGGCUUGGGGUUACAUUCAGUGCUCUGUGCUCCCCACUGCCAGGCUGCGAUCUGCUGAUGCUCUAUGCGGUAAUUAAUGCACCGCUAAUUGGAUUUCCAGGGCCUGGAGCUGAGGGGCAGCGGCUGCAGCAGGGGAAGGGACUGAGAGCUUUGCCCACAUCCCCCAGCAUAGCUCUGCACCCGAUGCCCCACUGCUGAUAGUGAUGGGCACCACUUCUCCCCUUCUCCAACAAUCCAUUGCCCGUCUGCAUUAAUGCCUUCCCUCCUUUUUGGUCACCUAAUUCAACAGAGGGGAUUAAAGCAUAACUCCCAUAGCACAGAGGCUGCAGCAAGCUGUGGUUCCCCCAAGUUCCUGAUGGAGCACAGCCCCUCUCCAAAUUAUUCCCAGCAACAGACUAUGGCUUCUUGUCCACCUUGCAAACUGAGGGGGGAGGGCUGGGAAGACCUUUUAUUUUAUUAUCAUGGAUUAAUCAUCGUAAGGGGAGCACGAAGGAUAGGUCAUAAUAAUGGGGGUUUGAAUUACACUUCUAAACUUGGGGCCCCUAAGCCUAAUGAAAUGAGAGUGCACAGCUCAGAGCCAGGUUAAGAGGCUGUGGUGGCUGCUGCCCCUAUGGGAGCACCCGGUGCUGCCUUCCUGAGAGCUCCCAGGGGUCGGAUGGGUUGCAGAGGAGGAGUGUGAGGCACAGCUCAGAGCAGGUCCUGCUCCUGCCUCGGUGUGGGGCUGUCACAGUGUUUGGCUCAUAGCAGCAGGGCCUGAUGCAGAGGGGCCCCACUGGAGGCAGAAAGUCCCUUUGGGGUGAAAAGCCUCGCAGGACAGGGAUGAGCUGCAGGUGAAGUCUGCUGUGUCCAUCCAGCCCCCCCCCCCGCACUGAUGUCUGGGGCUUUGCCACCCCAAUGGGCAUCAGCAGUGCAGAUGGAGACAACAGCUCCAUCCAACUGUGUGUGCCCAACACCCUCCAACACCCUCGAUGACUCCGUGUCUUCAUUUCCAUCAUUCAGCACUAAAUUCUAUCACUUCCAUCAGACAGAGCUGUGAAGAAGGAAUUCUCCUUCACCUGAGUGCCCUUCCCCAGCACCACCGCCUUGCACAACCGCACUGCUUGCAUGGAGGAUCGAUGCCAUCCUCCCUCCUAACACACAGGAAAUGGGGCUCCGUUUCAUUUCUCCUUCCCAUUUUCACUCUUCCUUCCCAAGGAUGCACACUGCUCCACAUACCCGCUGUAACCCGGGCUGCCCCGGGGGAUUUACAGCCUCCAUCCAGUUUUAUUGUUGAUACAGAUCUUUAUCUGCCCCGGGCUUAUAGCUGACAUUUAAAUUACACUGCAAACAAUGAAUCAAUAUUUAUGGAUUACCGGUCCAAUACAUUCACCCAACGAGUUGUUAUGGGAUUCGGUCUCCCAGCAAACAGGACAAUGAGGUCAAGGUCAAGGCUUUGUCUGAUGAGAAACAGGCGCAGACAGGAGCUGCCAGCCCAAUAUUGACUGCCUAAUAGGAAUGCAUUUAUGUUGGUCAUUUAGCUGCACGCAUUGAGCUCUUUGUUAAUUUUCCCAUUCUUGUCAUUUUCCUGCUGAUAAUUGUUCAUAAUUUAAAGCCCUGAGCCCGGAGUGCUUCUCCUGCCCACAGCAACACAGGAGCAGAGGUGCCCAUGUGGAGCAGUGUGCACACUCAUACUCGUGCUCACGCUUGUGUAAUCCUGGUGCAUGCGGAGCUUGGGUUAUCUGCUGUGUUGGAGCAGAAAUGAUGCUAUUUGCUAUUCUGUUUCACUUCUGUGCCACCUGGCAACUUAGGAACACUGAGUUAUUACAUUUUGUGUGGCCAUCGGAAAGCAGAGGGAGACUAUUGCUUUGAUGAGAGGGCUACAAUUUGCUAAGCCUUGGCUCCUGGCUUCCCAGAGCUGCACAGCGCUGCCAGCUGAGCACAAACAAGGUCAGUGUGCGCUCACUGUUCCCACGCAGAGCCUCCAGACGUGUGCAUGAGGAGGUGAGCAGCCAAGGUCACGAGACAGGAAAAUGAGAGCAGCUCCACUGGCUGGGAGCUGUUUCUGCGUGCCAUGGGGCUGCUCCCUGCAUUGUGCACCACGGGGCUGCUCCUUGUGUGCAAUGGGGCUGCUCCCUGCCUUGUGCGCCACGGGAUUGCU
RNAcentral lists this long non-coding RNA (2758 nucleotides) under Gallus gallus (chicken). RNAcentral's name for it is "lncRNA (ENSGALG00010020606.1)". Lineage: Eukaryota; Metazoa; Chordata; Aves; Galliformes; Phasianidae. The record is from RNAcentral.